GUAGGUGAACCUGCGGAAGGAUCAUUAUCACGUUAUCCACGUAUAAACCAUUGUGAACCGUACCCCACCUUUGCGAUGCGGAAAGUUGAAGUUUAUUCUUCAAUUUUAAAAUAAGAGGAUUCGUUCUCUUAGCCGUGUUGCAAAGCGUAUUUUUAAAACUUAUUAACCAUUAUAACCCAAUCUUUAUAACAAUUAUGAACUAAAAUUAUUUUAUACUCUUCGGAGAUAAAAUUCAUUACGAAACAAAAGA
Molecule: unclassified non-coding RNA, 250 nt
Filed under: plant metagenome
Description: partial contains small subunit ribosomal RNA, internal transcribed spacer 1, and 5.8S ribosomal RNA
Source: RNAcentral